AAUUUCUAUCCCCUACUUUUGGAGGAAGCAACCUGGAGUUGGAAUUGCAUGUACCUACACCAGUGGAGAUCAAAAUUAGAUGGCAUGCCAAGGUCUUGCCACGUAGACAAAAUGGCGGAAAGAGGUUUCUUGAAUUUCAUGAGAAGUGUAGGUGAAGAAAAAGAUUUAUGGUGGGUUUUUUUUUUUUUUAAAUAUGGAGUAUAUAAUAUUUAGAAUACAAGAUUUAGCUUUAUGAAUACUCCAGGGUGACAUUGGACCUUAAAAUCUUUCUCUUUCUCACUGGUGGUGAAAUAGCUCUACCAAUUAUUUAGAUUGCCCCAUCUCCACUCUAUUCUUAUUAUUUAUUUUUAAUUUUUUUGGCUUUCUU
RNAcentral lists this long non-coding RNA (367 nucleotides) under Gossypium raimondii (Peruvian cotton). RNAcentral describes it as "long non-coding RNA (GRAI_LNC006611)". The record is from RNAcentral. Lineage: Eukaryota; Viridiplantae; Streptophyta; Magnoliopsida; Malvales; Malvaceae.